UCAUUUAAUAGAAAGGUAUCAAAACAAAACUAAACUUAAAAAGCUUGUAAACAAAUAAUAUGUAAUCUAUAUUGCAAUCAAACUGUUAACAACGUGCAAUAACACACCACACAAGGACUAGAACUGUUCAAAGAAAUUUGAUGUUCUACAAAGUAUAUUAGUCUUAAUAAUAAACUAUAACAGUUAGGUACAACAUUAUAAGGUAAACAAUUAAGGUACAAAUGUAGUUGAACUUAAUGUGAGUCGUUUAAUGUAUAAAGGAACUGUUUUGAAAACAAUAACAAAAAGUGUUGAACUGAGAAGUUUGCAGUAAGACGGAUAUUAUUUUUUGGAAAUUUCAUAAUUACUUGACUGUCAAUUGUUUUAUAAUCAAAAUGAAUUCGAUAAGCUGUGUAGUUAGUAUCAGUAAAUAAAUGUAACUAUAUACAUAUGGAAAACAGCAUUAAAUGUUACAACAUAAAAAAAUGUAUUCAAUAUUUCAUUUUUCUGCUUAUCACAAAACACCCUGUUAUCACAAAACAUAACCUGUUAAUAUAAGUAAUAAACAUAGCAAAUAAAUUCUUACAAAUAAAUAAAUAGAAUUGUGCAAAUUCAAAUACAUUAUAAUCAUUUUAUGAUUUCUAAAUCGGUACCAUUAAGUGCUCCAUACUUCAAAUAAAUUAAUAUACAUCUCAAAAAAAUGAAUACAAAACGAAACAAUGUUCUAUCAGUUAAAAACUGCAUAAAAUCUAUUUUUGUGUACAAUUAAAAAAAUCAAUAAUCUCGUACAGGAAUGUGUGCACUAGGAAUUUCAGUCAAACAUUCAGGUUUAUAAAUUUCAUAAAGAGUUAUCAAAACUUGCGAAGUAUAAAUGAAACAGAAAAGACCGAAUGGUUAUAUCCUGACUUGUAUAUUUAUGCUCUUUAACUUCGUACUUUAUGAGUUUUUGUAGACGAAACGCGCGUCUUGCAUAUGUAUAAAAUAUAGUCCUGGUAUCUAUGAUGAGUUUAUUAAAUGCAUAAACAGCAAUCCAUACACCGUAAGAUUAUUACGGGAGGGUAAACAAAAAUUAGGUAGGAAACCUAUUUCUGAUAAGAUUCACAGGCACUUUUUUAAACAAUGCCAGUCAAGGUGGAUCACAACUGUAAAACUGAGUAUCCAACUAAAUCUUCUUAAACAGGAUUCUUUGCUUAUCUGAUAUUCAAUGCUAUUAUUUGAAAUUAUGUCUAAACUAAGAAAUAACAGGUAAAAUUGUUAAGUGUUCUUAAAGAGGCAUCAUCUAUGAAAUUCAUGUUCACCCAUUUGAUUUAAGUUCUCUUCUUUCUUGACUUAUAACAUACUAAAUUGAAUAUCAAAAGUACAAAAAGUCUAAAAUAAUCCAUUAACAAUACAUGGACUCGAUAAUAUAUACCAGCGUUUCGUGUGUAUUUUUUUUUUCUACACGUCAUUUAAUUUACCAUCGAGAUGACCUCCAAUAACUGUCUAUAACCCGAUAUAAACAUAAAUUUAUAAAUAGAUAGCAACUACGUGUAAUAGAUUUUUUUUCGGUCUGUGUGAUUUCAUAAUGUUAGUAAAAACGUAGGUUGAUAAUCGUUUUUACCUGUAUAAGAAUGAUUCAUUUGGAUCGAAUCAGUCAACUAACUAUUCACCCUUGUUUCACUUUCAAUUUUAAAAUUUCUUUCCUUUUGAUAGCUGAAUACAUGCGUCACCCUUCUCCAGCUAAGGGGUUUAAUUGAGAGUCAUAUGAAAACGGAAUCAUUGAGGUCGAAUUAUUCACUUACAAGUGGAUAACUCAUCAGCAAUGUUUUUCAACUUAUUUUGACAAAGUUAAAACAACUGGCGAAUUACUAUUUUACUAUUUGACUCUCAUUUAUGAUUGAACAAAACAAAUUCUUAUUUCAUUGUUUUUCAUAUUUCGUAGCUUAAGCCCAUUUAAACUAAAUCCUCAACUAUAUCUCUAGAAAUAAGUCAACAACGAAACUUGUAAAUGACUGCACAAAAGUUAUUGUUAUUAAAGACCUAUGCAAGUGCUGGCAGUAAAACCAAACAUACAUAGUAUGUAAAAUGACUUAAUUGAAACUCGUUUUCUUUUAUAAAUACAAUAUUAUUGAAUUGCAACAAUAAUCUAGAGAAUUGAUACUUAUGAGGAAACUUUGUCUACUUUUUACGGUUCAUCAAAUUAUAUUAACACAGUUUACCUGAAAAUUACAUUAAUUGUCUGUAUUUGAUUUUUUCUGUGUUGUACGGAUUGUUAGUUUUAUUGUUUUAACAUAAUGUUGCAUCAUCACAGCUAUCGUUUUAGUUUGUCUGCGUGGUCAUAAUCAUCGACUCUCUUACGAUAUUUGAUGCUACAUUUGAUAGCAUUUAUUAUGGUGAUUUCAGAAUAUGCUUUUCACAGACGACACACAAGAAAGGACAAACACUCCAGCUGUCGAUUGGAAAAGGUGAGCAACUAAAAUAAGAUAACUUUCAAGAUGUUAUCCUUUCAAACAAAUUAUAUGCUUUAAUAUUCCAAGUUUCUAUAACUUAAUUCCAGGUCGUCGACUGUCAAAUAAAUCCCAAAUUCUAAUGGUACCAUCUUCACUGCAUGUCACAAAACGAUCCUCCGUUACCUUAAAAUAGAACAAAAGUGUGAUAAGUCAAAAGUAUUAUAGAAAACUAGCUUGCACACACUGUAUGGUAAGGUUGGCUACAACAAGCUAAAUAUGUUCAAUCAAUGUUGUAUAUUGGUUUAGGAGAUGAAGAUU
RNAcentral lists this long non-coding RNA (2726 nucleotides) under Mytilus galloprovincialis (Mediterranean mussel). Lineage: Eukaryota; Metazoa; Mollusca; Bivalvia; Mytilida; Mytilidae. The record is from RNAcentral.